UGGGGAAUAUUGGACAAUGGGGGCAACCCUGAUCCAGCAAUGCCGCGUGUGUGAAGAAGGUCUUCGGAUUGUAAAGCACUUUCGACGGGGACGAUGAUGACGGUACCCGUAGAAGAAGCCCCGGCUAACUUCGUGCCAGCAGCCGCGGUAAUACGAAGGGGGCUAGCGUUGCUCGGAAUGACUGGGCGUAAAGGGCGUGUAGGCGGUUUACACAGUCAGAUGUGAAAUCCCCGGGCUUAACCUGGGAGCUGCAUUUGAUACGUGUAGACUAGAGUGUGAGAGAGGGUUGUGGAAUUCCCAGUGUAGAGGUGAAAUUCGUAGAUAUUGGGAAGAACACCGGUGGCGAAGGCGGCAACCUGGCUCAUGACUGACGCUGAGGCGCGAAAGCGUGGGGAGCAAACAGGUUAGAUACCC
RNAcentral lists this ribosomal RNA (414 nucleotides) under uncultured bacterium. RNAcentral describes it as "partial 16S ribosomal RNA". It matches the Rfam family "Bacterial small subunit ribosomal RNA", at positions 355 to 787 of the family's 1533-position model. The record is from RNAcentral.